UUGUGGACAUUUCUUCAAUGAACAUUGGGGUAUAUGUGCCCCUUCUUUUCACUACAUCUGGAUCUUUGGGGUAAAUACCCAGGAGUGCAAUUGCUGGGU
Long non-coding RNA from Lutra lutra (Eurasian river otter), 99 nucleotides. RefSeq lists it as uncharacterized. The transcript is spliced from 3 exons. NCBI's taxonomy places the organism in Eukaryota, Metazoa, Chordata, Mammalia, Carnivora, Mustelidae. The record is from RefSeq and is a predicted model, not a curated record.